Transfer RNA from Aspergillus rambellii, 72 nucleotides. It matches the Rfam family "tRNA". From Rfam's summary of the family: Transfer RNA (tRNA) molecules are approximately 80 nucleotides in length. Their secondary structure includes four short double-helical elements and three loops (D, anti-codon, and T loops). NCBI's taxonomy places the organism in Eukaryota, Fungi, Ascomycota, Eurotiomycetes, Eurotiales, Aspergillaceae. The record is from Rfam.
GGUGCUGUAGUGUAGUGGUGAUCAUAAUUCGUUGUGGCCGAAUUGACCUGGGUUCGAUUCCCAGCAGCGCCA